CCUACGGGAGGCAGCAGUGGGGAAUUUUGGACAAUGGGCGCAAGCCUGAUCCAGCAAUGCCGCGUGCAGGAUGAAGGCCUUCGGGUUGUAAACUGCUUUUGUACGGAACGAAACGGUUCUUUCUAAUAAAGAGAGCUAAUGACGGUACCGUAAGAAUAAGCACCGGCUAACUACGUGCCAGCAGCCGCGGUAAUACGUAGGGUGCGAGCGUUAAUCGGAAUUACUGGGCGUAAAGCGUGCGCAGGCGGUUAUAUAAGACAGAUGUGAAAUCCCCGGGCUCAACCUGGGACCUGCAUUUGUGACUGUAUAGCUAGAGUACGGUAGAGGGGGAUGGAAUUCCGCGUGUAGCAGUGAAAUGCGUAGAUAUGCGGAGGAACACCGAUGGCGAAGGCAAUCCCCUGGACCUGUACUGACGCUCAUGCACGAAAGCGUGGGGAGCAAACAGGAUUAGAUACCCUGGUAGUCCACGCCCUAAACGAUGUCAACUGGUUGUUGGGUCUUCACUGACUCAGUAACGAAGCUAACGCGUGAAGUUGACCGCCUGGGGAGUACGGCCGCAAGGUUGAAACUCAAAGGAUUGACGG
Molecule: ribosomal RNA, 584 nt
Filed under: uncultured bacterium
Lineage: Bacteria
Description: bacterial SSU rRNA
Rfam family: Bacterial small subunit ribosomal RNA
Source: RNAcentral